RNAcentral lists this transfer RNA (73 nucleotides) under Marmota monax (woodchuck). RNAcentral's name for it is "tRNA.Ile". Lineage: Eukaryota; Metazoa; Chordata; Mammalia; Rodentia; Sciuridae. The record is from RNAcentral.
UGGGGUUGUGGCUCAGUGGUAGAGCGCGCACCUAAUGUGGGUGAGGCACUGGGUUUGAUCCUCAGAACCACAA